GUCAGCAGCCGCGGAAACACCGGCAGCUCUAGUGGUAACAAUUUUAUUGGGCCUAAAGCGUCCGUAGCCGGUUUAAUAAGUCUCUGGUGAAAUCCUGUAGCUUAACUGUGGGAAUUGCUGGAGAUACUAUUAGACUUGAGACCGGGAGAGGUUAGAGGUACUCCCAGGGUAGAGGUGAAAUUCUGUAAUCCUGGGAGGACCGCCUGUUGCGAAGGCGUCUAACUGGAACGGUUCUGACGGUGAGGGACGAAAGUUAGGGGCGCGAACCGGAUUAGAUACCCGGGUAGUCCUAACUGUAAACGAUGCGGACUUGGUGUUGGGGUGGCUUUGAGCUGCUCCAGUGCCGAAGGGAAGCUGUUAAGUCCGCCGCCUGGGAAGUACGGUCGCAAGACUGAACUUAAAGGAAUUGGCGGGGGAGCACCACAACGCGUGGAGCCUGCGGUUUAAUUGGAUUCAACGCCGGACAUCUCACCAGAGGCGACAGCUGUAUGAUAGCCAGGUUGAUGACUUUGCUUGACUAGCUGAGGGGAGGUGCAUGG
RNAcentral lists this ribosomal RNA (539 nucleotides) under uncultured archaeon. RNAcentral's name for it is "bacterial SSU rRNA". It matches the Rfam family "Archaeal small subunit ribosomal RNA", at positions 457 to 997 of the family's 1478-position model. The record is from RNAcentral.